UGCAGUGAAACCUGUUCAUCAGCUUUUGGAACCGGUUAGUCCGCUGGAUAACGAUUAAUAUUGUAUACUCAUUCUACAAACCUGAGCAUGCUUGUGUUAGCAGGAAAACAAAAAGCUGUAUGGAAGAAGAAUUAAUGGAAUAAAAAAGACAAUAUCUGUUUGGGCUGAAUGAAAUGAUUGGACGGGCUUAUUACAGUCCUGCGACAGGCACAGCUACCAGAUUUAUAACUUUUUUUGUCAGAGCAUUUGAUUUAUUAAUUUACUAAUAAAGCUUGGGGCCCUACUGUGUGGAGUUUACAUGUUCUCUCCGUGUUAGCCUGGGUUUUCUCCGGUUUCCUCCCACAGUCCAAAGACAUGCAGGUUAGGUUAAUUGUUGACUCUAAAUUGCCUGUAGGUGUGAAUGUGAGCGUGAAUGGUUAAUCAUGAUCAUGGAUGAUGGUU
Molecule: long non-coding RNA, 441 nt
Organism: Sebastes umbrosus (honeycomb rockfish)
Lineage: Eukaryota; Metazoa; Chordata; Actinopteri; Perciformes; Sebastidae
Exons: 3
Source: RefSeq, a predicted model, not a curated record